CACGAGGGGGCGAGCGUUGUUCGGAAUUAUUGGGCGUAAAGGGUGCGUAGGCGGUUUGGUAAGUCUUAUGUGAAAUCUACAGGCUCAACUUGUAGUCUGCAUGAGAAACUGCCGGGCUUGAGUAUGGGAGAGGUGAGUGGAAUUCCUGGUGUAGCGGUGAAAUGCGUAGAUAUCAGGAGGAACACCUGUGGCGAAAGCGGCUCACUGGACCAUAACUGACGCUGAUGCACGAAAGCUAGGGGAGCAAACAGG
This 252-nucleotide ribosomal RNA is filed under the name uncultured bacterium. Its description in RNAcentral is "partial 16S ribosomal RNA". It matches the Rfam family "Bacterial small subunit ribosomal RNA", at positions 524 to 776 of the family's 1533-position model. The record is from RNAcentral.